Molecule: ribosomal RNA, 488 nt
Filed under: uncultured bacterium
Lineage: Bacteria
Description: partial 16S ribosomal RNA
Rfam family: Bacterial small subunit ribosomal RNA
Source: RNAcentral
GACGAACGCUGGCGGCGUGCUUAACACAUGCAAGUCGAACGCGCCUGUCCUCUGGGUUUCUGGGGGGUGGGUGAGUGGCGCACGGGUGAGUAACACGUGAGUAACCUGCCCCCUUCUUCGGGAUAACGGUCUGAAAGGGCUGCUAAUACCGGGUAUUCACUGGUCUCCGCAUGGGGUCUGGUGGAAAGGUUUUUUUCUGGUGGGGGAUGGGCUCGCGGACUAUCAGCUUGUUGGUGGGGUGAUGGCCCACCAAGGCUUUGACGGGUAGCCGGCCUGAGAGGGUGACCGGUCACAUUGGGACUGAGAUACGGCCCAGACUCCUACGGGAGGCAGCAGUGGGGAAUAUUGCACAAUGGGCGCAAGACUGAUGCAGCGACGCCGCGUGAGGGAUGGAGGCCUUCGGGUUGUGAACCUCUUUCGCCCGUGGUCAAGCCGCGACGUGGGUCGUGGUGAGGGUAGUGGGUAAAGAAGCGCCGGCUAACUACGUG